RNAcentral lists this transfer RNA (76 nucleotides) under Aeromonas phage PX29. Its description in RNAcentral is "tRNA-Lys". It matches the Rfam family "tRNA". Rfam says of the family: Transfer RNA (tRNA) molecules are approximately 80 nucleotides in length. Their secondary structure includes four short double-helical elements and three loops (D, anti-codon, and T loops). Further hydrogen bonds mediate the characteristic L-shaped molecular structure. tRNAs have two regions of fundamental functional importance: the anti-codon, which is responsible for specific mRNA codon recognition, and the 3' end, to which the tRNAs corresponding amino acid is attached (by aminoacyl-tRNA synthetases). tRNAs cope with the degeneracy of the genetic code in two manners: having more than one tRNA (with a specific anti-codon) for a particular amino acid; and 'wobble' base-pairing, i.e. permitting non-standard base-pairing at the 3rd anti-codon position. Lineage: Duplodnaviria; Heunggongvirae; Uroviricota; Caudoviricetes; Pantevenvirales; Straboviridae. The record is from RNAcentral.
CCGCCGUUAGCUCAACUGGUAGAGCAAUCGGCUUUUAACCGAUAGGUUGGUGGAUCAUACCCACCACGGCGGACCA